Molecule: non-coding RNA, 23 nt
Filed under: Arabidopsis thaliana (thale cress)
Lineage: Eukaryota; Viridiplantae; Streptophyta; Magnoliopsida; Brassicales; Brassicaceae
Source: RNAcentral
AACUCAUUCAGCUUGAAGAGCCU